UGAUCGGUACGGGUUGUGAGAGCAAGGGCCCGGAGAUGGAACCUGAGACAAGGUUCCAGACCCUACGGGGUGCAGCAGGCGCGAAACCUCCGCAAUGUACGAAAGUGCGACGGGGGGAUCCCAAGUGUCAUGCUUUUUUGUAUGACUUUUCAUUAGUGUAAAAAGCUUUUAGAAUAAGAGCUGGGCAAGACCGGUGCCAGCCGCCGCGGUAACACCGGCAGCUCGAGUGGUAGCUGUUUUUAUUGGGCCUAAAGCGUUCGUAGCCGGUUUGAUAAGUCUUUGGUGAAAGCUUGUAGCUUAACUAUAAGAAUUGCUGGAGAUACUAUUAGACUUGAAGUCGGGAGAGGUUAGAGGUACUACCGGGGUAGGGGUGAAAUCCUAUAAUCCUGGGAGGACCACCUGUGGCGAAGGCGUCUAACUGGAACGAUCUUGACGGUGAGUAACGAAAGCCAGGGGCGCGAACCGGAUUAGAUACCCGGGUAGUCCUGGCCGUAAACGAUGUGGACUUGGUGUUGGAAUGGCUUUGAGUUGUUCCGGUGCCGAAGGGAAGCUGUUAAGUCCACCGCCUGGGAAGUACGGUCGCAAGACUGAAACUUAA
This 598-nucleotide ribosomal RNA is filed under the name uncultured archaeon. RNAcentral's name for it is "bacterial SSU rRNA". It matches the Rfam family "Archaeal small subunit ribosomal RNA", at positions 261 to 859 of the family's 1478-position model. The record is from RNAcentral.